AGUGAAGGUCAAUGGGACAGUGUUGUUAUAUUUCUUAAUUGGAAUACUACAGGUUGGGGUUGACAUGAGGCUCCCAUAGUUCUGGCUGUUCCCCAAGCUAACCAUAGUGCGCGAAAGGCCGAUGUUACUCCACAGCUGCUGUCAUAGUUAUUAAUAGACUUCCAGCCUGAACCCCGUUACCAGGCUGCUUUCCUAAGGGCCUCUUGGAAAAAGAGUAGACUUGAUGGGGCAAAGACUCAACGAUCUCAAAAGACUUUUUUUAGACUUGUUUACAAAUGUGUAAAUGUUAUUGGAACAUGAGUUAAAUCUUUUACAUACUGUAUAUCUCUGAAUGCAUCUGUGUGAAUGGAAUGUAUUGUGAUCUUUGUCUCUGGUGUCUAAAAGUGCCUCAAGGAACUCAAACAAUGCAAAUUGUACCCUCGAAAUUAAACACCAUCAUUCCG
Molecule: long non-coding RNA, 443 nt
Organism: Carassius carassius (crucian carp)
Lineage: Eukaryota; Metazoa; Chordata; Actinopteri; Cypriniformes; Cyprinidae
Exons: 2
Source: RefSeq, a predicted model, not a curated record